AAAGUCGUAACAAGGUUCCCGUAGGUGAACCUGCGGAAGGAUCAUUAAGGUAUGGUUCUAGGGGAAGUGAGCAAUCACCAGCCUAGGAUCGACUUUGAUGGACACCCUUUGUUUACUUCUUACCUGUUUCUUCCCUGAUCUAGGGUGCUCCGCUCAGUGGUGAAAAGUGUUACACUGAGGGGGGUUGCCUUUCAGGAAUUCAUUACAACUUUCAACAGUGGAUCUCUAGGCUCUC
RNAcentral lists this unclassified non-coding RNA (235 nucleotides) under Basidiomycota sp. Its description in RNAcentral is "partial contains small subunit ribosomal RNA, internal transcribed spacer 1, and 5.8S ribosomal RNA". The stretch from base 1 to 47 matches the Rfam family "Eukaryotic small subunit ribosomal RNA", at positions 1785 to 1831 of the family's 1831-position model. Lineage: Eukaryota; Fungi; Basidiomycota. The record is from RNAcentral.